This 1216-nucleotide ribosomal RNA is filed under the name metagenome. RNAcentral describes it as "bacterial SSU rRNA". It matches the Rfam family "Bacterial small subunit ribosomal RNA", at positions 298 to 1498 of the family's 1533-position model. The record is from RNAcentral.
GGAUGGUCGGCCACACUGGGGCUGAGACACUGCCCAGACUCCUACGGGAGGCUGCAGUCGAGGAUCUUCCGCAAUGGACGCAAGUCUGACGGAGCGACGCCGCGUGCGGGAGGAAGGCUUUCGGGUUGUAAACCGCUGUCACCUGUUACGAAUCGCCGGGGUGCGAAUAGCGCCCCGUCGUGACGAAGGCAGGAGAGGAAGCCACGGCUAACUUCGUGCCAGCAGCCGCGGCAAUACGAAGGUGGCAAGCGUUGUUCGGAAUCACUGGGCAUAAAGCGCAUGUAGGCGGCUGGGUCAGUCGGGUGUGAAAGCCCUCAGCUCAACUGAGGAACGGCACCCGAUACUGCCUUGCUUGAGGCCUGGAGGGGAGAACGGAAUUCCCGGUGGAGCGGUGAAAUGCGUAGAUAUCGGGAGGAACUCCGGUGGCGAAGGCGGUUCUCUGGACAGGUUCUGACGCUGAGACGCGAAAGCUAGGGGAGCAAACGGGAUUAGAUACCCCGGUAGUCCUAGCCGUAAACGAUGGGUGCUAGGUAGUGGUGGUUCCUAUUCCUACACUGCCGGAGCUAAUGUUUUAAGCACCCCGCCUGGGGAGUACGGCCGCAAGGCUAAAACUCAAAGGAAUUGACGGGGGCUCACACAAGCGGUGGAGCAUGUUGCUUAAUUCGAAACAACGCGAAGAACCUUACCCGGGUUUGACAUGCUGGUAUUAGCGCGGGGAAACCAUGCGUGACCCUUUCACGAGGGAGCCAGUACAGGUGUUGCAUGGCUGUCGUCAGCUCGUGUCGUGAGAUGUUGGGUUAAGUCCCGUAACGAGCGAAACCCUUGCCACUAGUUGCUACAGGUCAUGCUGAGAACUCUAGUGGGACUGCCGGUGUCAAACCGGAGGAAGGUGGGGACGACGUCAAGUCAUCAUGGCCCUUACGCCCGGGGCUGCAAACGUGCUACAAUGGCGGGUACAAAGGGUUGCGAGGCCGUGAGGCUGAGCCAAUCCCAAAAAGCCCGUCCCAGUCCGGAUUGGAGGCUGAAACUCGCCUCCAUGAAGUCGGAAUCGCUAGUAAUCGCAGAUCAGCCACGCUGCGGUGAAUAUGUUCCUGAGCCUUGUACACACCGCCCGUCAAGCCAUGGGAGCCGGGAGUGCCCGAAGUCGCGAUCCCAACCGCAAGGAGGGUAGCGCCGAAGGCAAGCUCGGUGACUGGGACUAAGUCGUAACAAGGUA